Molecule: transfer RNA, 72 nt
Filed under: Oculatellaceae cyanobacterium Prado106
Lineage: Bacteria; Bacillati; Cyanobacteriota; Cyanophyceae; Oculatellales; Oculatellaceae
Description: tRNA-Gly
Rfam family: tRNA
About the family: Transfer RNA (tRNA) molecules are approximately 80 nucleotides in length. Their secondary structure includes four short double-helical elements and three loops (D, anti-codon, and T loops).
Source: RNAcentral
GCGGGUGUGAUGUAAUGGCUAGCAUCUGAGUACGCCAUACUCAGCGCGUGGGUUCGAGUCCCAUCAUCCGCU